Molecule: ribosomal RNA, 68 nt
Filed under: uncultured Trebouxia photobiont
Lineage: Eukaryota; Viridiplantae; Chlorophyta; Trebouxiophyceae; Trebouxiales; Trebouxiaceae
Description: partial 18S ribosomal RNA
Rfam family: Eukaryotic small subunit ribosomal RNA
Source: RNAcentral
AGUUCGUUAAACCCUCCCACCUAGAGGAAGGAGAAGUCGUAACAAGGUUUCCGUAGGUGAACCUGCGG